RNAcentral lists this ribosomal RNA (1103 nucleotides) under Microbacterium flavum. Its description in RNAcentral is "bacterial SSU rRNA". It matches the Rfam family "Bacterial small subunit ribosomal RNA", at positions 328 to 1441 of the family's 1533-position model. The record is from RNAcentral. Lineage: Bacteria; Bacillati; Actinomycetota; Actinomycetes; Micrococcales; Microbacteriaceae.
GGCCCAGAUUCCUACGGGAGGCAGCAGUGGGGAAUAUUGCACAAUGGGCGAAAGCCUGAUGCAGCAACGCCGCGUGAGGGACGACGGCCUUCGGGUUGUAAACCUCUUUUAGCAGGGAAGAAGCGAAAGUGACGGUACCUGCAGAAAAAGCGCCGGCUAACUACGUGCCAGCAGCCGCGGUAAUACGUAGGGCGCAAGCGUUAUCCGGAAUUAUUGGGCGUAAAGAGCUCGUAGGCGGUUUGUCGCGUCUGCUGUGAAAUCCCGAGGCUCAACCUCGGGUCUGCAGUGGGUACGGGCAGACUAGAGUGCGGUAGGGGAGAUUGGAAUUCCUGGUGUAGCGGUGGAAUGCGCAGAUAUCAGGAGGAACACCGAUGGCGAAGGCAGAUCUCUGGGCCGUAACUGACGCUGAGGAGCGAAAGGGUGGGGAGCAAACAGGCUUAGAUACCCUGGUAGUCCACCCCGUAAACGUUGGGAACUAGUUGUGGGGUCCAUUCCACGGAUUCCGUGACGCAGCUAACGCAUUAAGUUCCCCGCCUGGGGAGUACGGCCGCAAGGCUAAAACUCAAAGGAAUUGACGGGGACCCGCACAAGCGGCGGAGCAUGCGGAUUAAUUCGAUGCAACGCGAAGAACCUUACCAAGGCUUGACAUAUACGAGAACGGGCCAGAAAUGGUCAACUCUUUGGACACUCGUAAACAGGUGGUGCAUGGUUGUCGUCAGCUCGUGUCGUGAGAUGUUGGGUUAAGUCCCGCAACGAGCGCAACCCUCGUUCUAUGUUGCCAGCACGUAAUGGUGGGGACUCAUGGGAUACUGCCGGGGUCAACUCGGAGGAAGGUGGGGAUGACGUCAAAUCAUCAUGCCCCUUAUGUCUUGGGCUUCACGCAUGCUACAAUGGCCGGUACAAAGGGCUGCAAUACCGUAAGGUGGAGCGAAUCCCAAAAAGCCGGUCCCAGUUCGGAUUGAGGUCUGCAACUCGACCUCAUGAAGUCGGAGUCGCUAGUAAUCGCAGAUCAGCAACGCUGCGGUGAAUACGUUCCCGGGUCUUGUACACACCGCCCGUCAAGUCAUGAAAGUCGGUAACACCUGAAGCCGGUGGCCCAACCC